Molecule: long non-coding RNA, 201 nt
Filed under: Mytilus galloprovincialis (Mediterranean mussel)
Lineage: Eukaryota; Metazoa; Mollusca; Bivalvia; Mytilida; Mytilidae
Source: RNAcentral
CUAGGGUUUUCUGCUUGUGAUAAGAACAUCCUUAUAAUUUAGAACAAUUUAUGCUAUUGCAAACCAUUAAUUUUAUCAAAUGAAUAUAAAAGGUAUACAUGACAAAACUGAAGUCUUAACUAAUUACAGAAAACAAAACCCGAAUACAUAAUAAAAAGACCAAAAAAUACAGAAAAUAGACACACCCGACUUAGUCCAGGC